RNAcentral lists this ribosomal RNA (220 nucleotides) under Vibrio sp. Its description in RNAcentral is "partial 16S ribosomal RNA". It matches the Rfam family "Bacterial small subunit ribosomal RNA", at positions 60 to 261 of the family's 1533-position model. Lineage: Bacteria; Pseudomonadati; Pseudomonadota; Gammaproteobacteria; Vibrionales; Vibrionaceae. The record is from RNAcentral.
CCUGCAGUCGAGCGGAAACGAGUUAUCUGAACCUUCGGGGAACGAUAACGGCGUCGAGCGGCGGACGGGUGAGUAAUGCCUAGGAAAUUGCCCUGAUGUGGGGGAUAACCAUUGGAAACGAUGGCUAAUACCGCAUGAUGCCUACGGGCCAAAGAGGGGGACCUUCGGGCCUCUCGCGUCAGGAUAUGCCUAGGUGGGAUUAGCUAGUUGGCGAGGCAAG